Cornus florida is the source of this 664-nucleotide long non-coding RNA. RefSeq lists it as uncharacterized. The record is from RefSeq and is a predicted model, not a curated record. Lineage: Eukaryota; Viridiplantae; Streptophyta; Magnoliopsida; Cornales; Cornaceae. The transcript is spliced from 2 exons.
GUUGUGAUAUAUAUGUAUAUAUAUAUAAUUAAGGUUAAAAGAAAAAGAAAUAAAACAAGUGGGCCCCACCACUAUUAAAAACAUCAAAAAGGCCAUAAGGCCAUUACAGAUGCUCUCUCUCGGCAGUUUCCAAGUUCUCUCUCUGGACCAUUUGUUUUAUUUUUUGCCUUCACCAUUCAAACCUUGAUCUUGCUUUUUUCCUUUGGGAAUUUGGUAGAACAUUGUGAAGCAAAAUUGUUGAGCUCGUCGAGGCCGUCAAUUUGAUAGGAACCAAUCAUCAUUUGGUGCACUCCAAGGAGUUCAAAAUUCUAGGGUUCUUGGGCUUGGAUUUGGGGAUUUUAGGAGUUUUUACUUCCAUUAAGGAUAUGGAAAAGAGGUGGCGGACGACGGUCCACCACAGGUUUAGAUUAGCUUGAAGACCCAUUCUAUUUUGUUAUCUUUUGUAUUAGACUCUAAUAUUUUGUAAAUGUAAUAUUAACUACCUUGUGACACUUUAGUUUAAUUAGUAUAAUGUUGUAAGUUAUGGACUUUUAAUUCUAGCUACAUUUUAUGGACUAUAAUUUGAUGUAACUUAAGUGGGUUCCAUGUUUGGAUGAGAUGGAGGAACGGGACUUUUAUAUGUAUGUAACUAUUUUGGGAAUGUAGUAUAAUAUUUGAAUUGUGC